This 465-nucleotide ribosomal RNA is filed under the name Vreelandella stevensii. Its description in RNAcentral is "partial 16S ribosomal RNA". It matches the Rfam family "Bacterial small subunit ribosomal RNA", at positions 338 to 795 of the family's 1533-position model. Lineage: Bacteria; Pseudomonadati; Pseudomonadota; Gammaproteobacteria; Oceanospirillales; Halomonadaceae. The record is from RNAcentral.
CCUACGGGGGGCUGCAGUGGGGAAUAUUGGACAAUGGGCGAAAGCCUGAUCCAGCCAUGCCGCGUGUGUGAAGAAGGCCUUCGGGUUGUAAAGCACUUUCAGUGGGGAAGAAAGCCUUGGGGCUAAUACCCUCGAGGAAGGACAUCACCCACAGAAGAAGCACCGGCUAACUCCGUGCCAGCAGCCGCGGUAAUACGGAGGGUGCGAGCGUUAAUCGGAAUUACUGGGCGUAAAGCGCGCGUAGGCGGUCUGAUAAGCCGGGUGUGAAAGCCCCGGGCUCAACCUGGGAACGGCAUCCGGAACUGUCAGGCUAGAGUGCAGGAGAGGAAGGUAGAAUUCCCGGUGUAGCGGUGAAAUGCGUAGAGAUCGGGAGGAAUACCAGUGGCGAAGGCGGCCUUCUGGACUGACACUGACGCUGAGGUGCGAAAGCGUGGGUAGCAAACAGGAUUAGAUACCCCAGUAGUC